This is a long non-coding RNA of Lontra canadensis (Northern American river otter), 1012 nucleotides long. RefSeq lists it as uncharacterized. The record is from RefSeq and is a predicted model, not a curated record. The transcript is spliced from 2 exons. NCBI's taxonomy places the organism in Eukaryota, Metazoa, Chordata, Mammalia, Carnivora, Mustelidae.
CACAGGCCCACUUCGUAGACACUGCCCCAGCUUGCCUGGCCAAGUUGGCUCGGAAAACAGGGCCUCCUAGUCCUCCGUCCUCCUCCUCCACAACCAGCUUCCAGCGUCCCGACUUCCUGAAGGGUAACCCCCUGGGUACAAGGGGCCUCUGUCAGUCUCCACUCCCACCGGAAAUAAACUCCAGGGGUCACUGCAGUGAUGGACUCCACAAAGCAUCAGCGCAGAGUCACAGAGCAGAUCAGCCAGUGUCACAGAGGGCCACCUGGGAGCCUCGGCCUGAAUGUCCAGCGCGGCUCUCCAGGAAGUCCUUGGCAAGGCCUGUCUUUUCAGAGCUCCAUGCAGCCGGCCACCCAGCUCCUCUUCCUUGCACCAGGGGCCUUUGCGGAACUCCUGGCCUUUGGUGGCCAAGGCUUCCGCCUUUCAAAGACCAGACGCUGCUGUCCGUAACCCAGCACUCCUGCUAGCUAGUUCAGCCAUUCCCCCUCCGCUUCCAGAGCCCCAGAAACUGGAGGUUCACAGGCUCCUUGGGUUCCACCCAGUUUCUCAGGGCUCGGGCCCAUUCUGAGGAAUCCAGCCUCUUUGCUUGGCUAGAGCUCUGCACACUGAGAACCGCUGGACCGGAGCUCAUGUCUUGGGAUCAGGCUGUGUCAGUGAAGACACGAACAGGAAAGGGUCACAUGUCCCCAAAGUCCAAGCAGCCCUCUAGGAUUAGAAACACAGUGGUGGUCACUAACUUUUUCAGAUAUUUUUGAGAACUAAGAGCUGUGUGACUAGAUACUUACAUUCUAACCCUUGCCCCCUUUAAUAACUACAUUUUAAAAUAAACAGUGGAAACCACCUAAACACAUGGCAAGGCUCUAUACAUUUUUAGAGAAUUUGGGCAUUUAAUAUAAUUGUUUAUAUAGCUGAAUUCAAUGACUAAAGAGGCUCAGAGAUAAGAUCUUUGGAAAAUAUGUUCACCAGCCAUCUAGCAUCUGCUAACUAGAAAAGAGUCUAUUAAAAAAAAAAAAAA